Molecule: ribosomal RNA, 378 nt
Filed under: Triticum aestivum (bread wheat)
Lineage: Eukaryota; Viridiplantae; Streptophyta; Magnoliopsida; Poales; Poaceae
Description: partial small subunit ribosomal RNA
Source: RNAcentral
AUGGGCCUAGAGCCCAUCUCAGAUUUCAGCAGAAAGUUCAUGUUAAUGAAUUCCCUGGAAGAAAUUUCAGCCACCUCUUCUACCUGGAACAUACCUCCGAUAAAACAUUUUGUGCUUAUUGAAGGGUGUGACAUUUGUUUACAUUUAGUUAGUUCCAAUGUACCAUCUAAGUUUAUGCUUCUAGAACUUACUCUUUUCCACUGUCCAGUGCGAGGUCCGUCCUGUGCUCGGAUGUUUUUAGACUAUCUAUCAGAGUCCAAGGAAGAUUCGGGGAUAAAGAACAUCAUGGUGCUUGAACGUGGGUUCAAUGGAUGGGAGAUUUCUGGCCAACCCGUGUGCCACUGCAAAGAUGCUCCUUGCAAAGGCACAUGCUCUUGA